Molecule: non-coding RNA, 26 nt
Filed under: Rattus norvegicus (Norway rat)
Lineage: Eukaryota; Metazoa; Chordata; Mammalia; Rodentia; Muridae
Source: RNAcentral
ACUAUUUCUCAGAGGUGGUGCCCGGG